GAUGAACGCUGGCGGCGUGCCUAAUACAUGCAAGUCGAGCGAACGGACGAGAAGCUUGCUUCUCUGAUGUUAGCGGCGGACGGGUGAGUAACACGUGGAUAACCGACCUAUAAGACUGGGAUAACUUCGGGAAACCUUAGCUAAUACAGGAUAAUAGUUUGAACCGCAUGGUUCAAAAGUGAAAGACGGUCUUGCUGUCACUUAUAGAUGGAACCGCGCUGCAUUAGCUAGUUGGUAAGGUAACGGCUUACCAAGGCAACGAUGCAUAGCCGACCUGAGAGGGUGAUCGGCCACACUGGAACUGAGACACGGUCCAGACUCCUACGGGAGGCAGCAGUAGGGAAUCUUCCGCAAUGGGCGAAAGCCUGACGGAGCAACGCCGCGUGAGUGAUGAAGGUCUUCGGAUCGUAAAACUCUGUUAUUAGGGAAGAACAUCUGUGUAAGUAACUGUGCACAUCUUGACGUUACCUAAUCAGAAAGCCCCGGCUAACUACGUG
This 497-nucleotide ribosomal RNA is filed under the name uncultured bacterium. RNAcentral's name for it is "partial 16S ribosomal RNA". It matches the Rfam family "Bacterial small subunit ribosomal RNA", at positions 28 to 507 of the family's 1533-position model. The record is from RNAcentral.